AGGAAGGUGGCUCAGUGGUAGAGUGCUUGCCUUGCAUGCAUGAGGCCCUGGGUUCGAUUCCUCAAUGCUA
This 70-nucleotide transfer RNA is filed under the name Dipodomys ordii (Ord's kangaroo rat). It matches the Rfam family "tRNA". Rfam says of the family: Transfer RNA (tRNA) molecules are approximately 80 nucleotides in length. Their secondary structure includes four short double-helical elements and three loops (D, anti-codon, and T loops). The record is from Rfam by way of RNAcentral. Lineage: Eukaryota; Metazoa; Chordata; Mammalia; Rodentia; Heteromyidae.